RNAcentral lists this ribosomal RNA (396 nucleotides) under uncultured bacterium. RNAcentral's name for it is "bacterial SSU rRNA". It matches the Rfam family "Bacterial small subunit ribosomal RNA", at positions 29 to 429 of the family's 1533-position model. The record is from RNAcentral.
AUUGAACGCUGGCGGAAUGCUUUACACAUGCAAGUCGAACGGCAGCACGGGGGCAACCCUGGUGGCGAGUGGCGAACGGGUGAGUAAUACAUCGGAACGUGCCCAGUCGUGGGGGAUAACUGCGCGAAAGCGUAGCUAAUACCGCAUACGAUCUACGGAUGAAAGCGGGGGAUCGCAAGACCUCGCGCGAUUGGAGCGGCCGAUGGCAGAUUAGGUAGUUGGGGGGUAAAGGCUCACCAAGCCAACGAUCUGUAGCUGGUCUGAGAGGACGACCAGCCACACUGGGACUGAGACACGGCCCAGACUCCUACGGGAGGCAGCAGUGGGGAAUUGUUCGCAAUGGGCGCAAGCCUGACGACGCAACGCCGCGUGGAGGAUGAAGACCUCGGUCGUAAC